UGCGGGGUGGAGCAGUCUGGCAGCUAAAGCUCGUCGGGCUCAUAACCCGAAGGUCGCAGGUUCGAAUCCUGCCCCCGCUACCA
This 83-nucleotide transfer RNA is filed under the name Gammaproteobacteria bacterium. RNAcentral's name for it is "tRNA-Met". It matches the Rfam family "tRNA". Rfam says of the family: Transfer RNA (tRNA) molecules are approximately 80 nucleotides in length. Lineage: Bacteria; Pseudomonadati; Pseudomonadota; Gammaproteobacteria. The record is from RNAcentral.